CUUGCGUGAUGCUGGGAAGGGAACCCCAAUGCCAGUCUUCCCUUGCACUUGGAGGAGCCUGUCUUGAUUUUGGAUGCUCUUUUUACACUUUUAAAAGAUCUAUUCUCUGAGCACAAAGACCAAACUUCACAUCUGCUUAUAGCACUGACAGAACCAUGGCAAUAUUUCACUCUCAGCAGGCAGUUGACUGGGAAAAAAAAAAAAAACAUGCCUCUGACACACUGCUUUUAUUCUUAUGCUGUUUCCAUGUGUUCUGUCUGCUGCCUCUGGCCUUGGUCUGAGGAGCAUUUUUAACCCUUCUGCUCAUUGCCAAAAGCUCAAUGAGAAGGAACGUCCCCUUGGGUUCCUUUAGUUGAGACCACAGUAUGCCUGGGCUCCUGCAGCCCCAGUGCAGCACAACUGCAGCCUGUCAGCAUCCCCUCACCCCCCGCAAUGUGCUCCUAUUUACUGCCAUAAUCAGCGCCUCUGAAAGGCAAGGCUGAACAACUGCUGUUAAAUAUAAUUGUCGCUGUGACAGGUCCACUGUGGUGAGAAAAUUCGUGCCUUUCAGAGCUGAUGACUCUGCUAAAGAGCAGUGGUAAAACCAGAGCUGAGUUCCUGGCCUCCUGGCCCAGAUGGCCGUGGCUCUGAGGAGUGAAGGCUGCUCCCUGUAUCCCAUGUGCAUUGAGGAGUGUUCGGCGUUAACCCUUCUCUCCAUUGCACAGGUGAGGCCUUGGAGGCUGAUGGUUCUGGAUCGCACAGAGCAGAAUCAGCAGGCAAGGGAAGUCCUCCUUCCCUUUGCUCUGCUCAGAGCUGGGCUGCCCAGUUCCAGGCAGACGGGGAACGGCUGCAGAGAUGGUGGGGGCCUGGAGCACCUACUGAUGGGGACGGCCUGAGGGCCCUGGGGCUGUUCACCUGGGGAAGGGAAGGCUGGGAGGGAUCUGCUCAGCGCUGAUCAAUAUGUGGAGGGCGGGGGUCAGGAGGAUGGGGCCGGGCUCUGCUCUGUGGUGCUCAGCGCCAGGACGAGGAGCGCCGCGCACAGACUGGAGCCCGGGGAGUUCCACAGGGACAUGAGGAAGAACUUCUGUGCUGUGAGCGUGGCACGGAGAGCUGGGGUCUCCUUCCCUGGAGAUGUUCUGGUCCCCCUGGGUGCUCUUCUGUGCAGCUGCUGUAGGGAGCUGCUUCGGGGGGGAGGUGGUUGGACUGAGUCCAGAGGUCCAAUCCUGACCCAUAUGGAUUUAUGAUUCUGUGAACUUCCACAAAGUCCUGAUCCUGCCUCAGAGGAAUGUCUUUGGCUGUGGCUGGUUUGUUUGCAUUGAAGUAUUCACUGAGAAACAGUGGGAUGUGUCCUCCUCUGUGGACUUUGGCGGAGACUCUUCCCUUGAGCACAGGUAUGUGAUCCCAAACAACAGUACCAAAGCUAAAGGCAAGUUGUCAGUAGUGCUAAUGCUGCCAGAGCACUAAUUAUGGCUGAGAGACACUUUCCUUAUAAACCUCUCCUUUGAGCUCCUGAUUGCUACCUCAGAAGAGUAGUAUCGAAUUGUCUUGUGUGAACAUGGGUAUCAGGUUUAUGUAGAAGAGAAACCUGGAUGACAUUCAAUUUGUUUGCUGUUCUCCUCUUCCAGUUUUUGCCUGGAUACAGUUGAGCAUAAAAAUCCCCUCAGCUGAGAAAGCUUUAUAGUUGCACCAAGUUCUCUAAAGCCAUUUCUCCUAAAAUAUUCAGCCUUAGUCACCAGUGAGAGCGCACAGCGUAGCUCUAAGGUUUGUGCAGCUACAAAUGUGCAAAAAGCCUACAGCACAGCACCUGGCACCUGAAGGCUGCCAGUGCAGGGAGCAGUGAACAUGGAAUGGGCUCCUUGGAUGCAUGGAGAGCUCUGUGGCAGCAGGGCUGCCUGCUGGGAGAUGCUGUAUCCUGCUGGAGUUUCCCAGAAGUGGUGGUGGUCCUGCUGCUGCCUCGUGGCUCUUCACUCGUCUGAGUCUCGGUUUCUAAAUCUGUAUGGUAGUGGUUAUCAUCCUUCCCUUCUGCCAUUCAUUUUUUAAUGUCAGUUCUCAGUAGGGAAAGUUUCUUCAUUUUAACAGCAUUGCUUUCAAUUUAACAGCUCUCUGCUUUCCUGUAGAAAAUUGCAAAUAGGUUCUCCCAGCUGCUUUCUUCCUACACUGGGUAAUUUCUUUCCAUGGGACUUGACUGCAGUGUGUUGAGUGGGGAGAAGGAUGCCUGCCAUGAGCAGCUUUUGAUGCUGGGAGGCACUUUGUUGGGUCUCCAAGCUCCUGGCAAUUUCCCUUAGGGCUUCCUCUGAUCCAGAGCAAGGAAAAAAAUGUAAACCAAGGUGUUGGAAUCCAACACAGUAUUUUACCGGGUAGUGUUUUUGUGAUUUAUUAACUCCAGAGUAAAUCAGGGAAAUGUAUGGCAUUACAUUUUUGUGUUACAGCAGCAUCCUGCAUGCGAGAUUGGCUUAGAGGCACUCUGAUAUGGGAACAAUAAAACACAGCUACGAAAGGCGUGUGCCCUGGGAGUAGUUUGCAGUCUCUGCCAGGGAGAUGCUAGGACACAGUGGAAAAGUAUGACGGGUGAAAAUAAUGUGAACAUCUGCUUUCCUGUGUGUAUGACAAAGCGCAUAAUUAGGAGCCUCCUGUAUAUUUUAUUUUAGGCGAUGCAAAAGACAAAGAAAUAAUAAAGCAUCCAUGAAAACUUGAAGCAGUUUGCUGGUGUUAGUGCGGUGGAGUUCUUAGAGAAGGACUUGAAGUUUCAGGAUAAAUUUGGGGCAGGAAAGAAAGGUAUUACAUGGCGUUUCUUCUACCCUUUGCAGCUGCCUCCUUGCAGAGAUGUGCACUUGGCAGUGGGGUGGAAUGAGAUUAAGAAUGGGUAAACUUAUGUGGAAUGCUUGCUUUAUUUAACAUGAUUAUUUGCUUCCAAAUCAUAUCUACUGUGUUCUGAAUGCACUUGGUGCUUCCAGAGUGGUGGUUAAGCUCAGACGAAGACAAAACAAAACAGUGAAUUUUUUUGGCGUCUUAAAUAUUCCGUGAGUUGGAUGCUGUCUCAGAUGUUAGGAGCUGAGUUGUGAAACCAGCUUUGGUCCAGAUCCAGCAUCUCCCCCAAGGAAACAUAGAUAGAAAAGCACGUGAGUUACCAUCACGGCUGCGUCCUGCUGCCACUGGGAUUCUCUGAGAGAGAAAUCAUUUUAGAAGGGUUAGAAAACCCACAGUAAUAGUGAAAGCCAUGAACACCCACAGUCCUGCAGGACUCUCCUGAGGCUACAGGGGACGUGGGGAGCUGCUGCCUUCUCCCGUAACAGAGAGAGUGGAGCAGACAAAAGCCGCCAAGAUCUGAUAAUAAAAUCUGUUUGGAACAGCUGUCCGCUGACAAGUAUAAUAAACUGUAUUAAUGGUGUCAUUAUUAUUCCCUAAUUAAAAGCUAAUAACUAAGAGUUAAUUGCCUUUAAAAGAUGAAGCAGUGCUAAGGCAGGGAUUUAUCUCUGUUUUUCUUUGCUUGCCUGGCUGUGCUGAUAUUUUCAAGCUAAUUAAUUGAAUGAAAUCUUACUGAAAACUAAUAAUCUCUCAGUGUCGACUCAACCAAUUGAAUUAAAAGGUGUUUGCUGUGUGCUGGGCUUAAAGAAACAUGUGUGUGCUCUUUCCAGCUCCACACUGUGGGUGAUGGCAGCCAGCAGUGCUGAGCGCAGCAUGCAGUACUGCUUGAUGGGAAAUUCUUCCCCAGCCGUGAGGAGGGAAGAGGAGCAUUGCAGGGCUGCUCCAGGACUUCGGGUUUUAGAGCCUUUUGCAGCUCCAACAACACCCUGCUGUAUGGAACUGCUGAACCACGGCCUGAACCUCUGAUUGACCACCUGAGCCCUGAGUCGGCCUGGGAGCACAGGUGAAGGCAAUUCGCUGUGCUGCCGGAAAGGUGGAGCCUGGCUGCAGCUCCCCAGACCCAUUUAAGAGCUGACUGCCGGGGGGAAGGGUCUCUUCUGGAGAUCUGCUCUGCUGGAGUUUCACAAGCUAGCCCAGGAUACGGGAGAUUCGGGAACUGUCUCCCCAUAUCCCUUUCCCAGUGGAUGAACUAGUUGAGAUGAUAAGACAAUUUUCACAGCGCCUGCUUGGUGAAAUAACGCUUGUGUCUUGAUCAGCCUUGAUCUGCCAGAAGAGGAGCUGCUGAAGGACUGUGGGCUGUCACCCCUGCUGCAGUCAGAGUUACUGGACUGCUGCAGCUUCUGUAAGCCUGACUCUUGUAAUGGAAGUGUGGUCACUGACCAUGAUGGUAGAGGAGCUGUGUCCUGCUGCCUCUUCCUCGACUAUUCCCUUCACUGCAGACAUGGGAACUCUGGCAGUAAUGAGGGAAACCUCCAUCUGUCUCAUCCAUGUGCUUCCACUGUGAUCUUCAGCUUUGAGAAAGUAAGUGUGAUUCUUCCCUGAAAAAUACCGGCCUGGUCUGGUGGGAGGUGUCCCUGCCCACAGCAGGGGCUGGAAGUGGGCAUCCUAAAGAUCCCUUCCCCUCCAAACCGUUCUAUGAUGACACCCAAACUAAUGGUACGCAUACGCCUGUGUCACUGCAGCUAUUUUGCUAAAUGCUUACCAAAUGAGGUUGUUUCUUUGCAACAGCACGUUUGACUUGUAACAGUGGUCUGUUUUUAGAAAGAACUCAAGGACAGCAGAAGAAGAGCAACCUGGUACCUGUUUGCAUAUGCCAACAAAGAAGGAUUUUGCAGCUGCUGCAUUACACAGAGCAACUGCUUCAUUCAUUGCCUGCUCCUAAUAACAAACAGGUGCAGUCAGCAUUUCAGACAAUCUUCCUUUAAUACAAAGUCAAUAUAUCUACAUACACUGUGGUAUGAAAACCACUUAAUGUUUCAGUUUGAAAUAACAGUGUGAAAGCAACAGCACUUUGCUCUCAUACAAAGAAAAAAAAAAACCUUCCCCCACCCCACCCCAACUCUUCCAGUAAGAUUUUGCUGCAACAUACUUAGAAAUUUGGGCAACUUUUACACAAAUAAGAAGUAAAAUCUUGAAGAAGCUUCUUGUUGUUUUUUUUUUUUUUUUUCUUCAGUUAAAGGCAGGAAAUGGAUUGUUGUGGGGUUUUCUGGGUAGCACUGGAUGGCAAUAAUUACCCCUUCUAGGAAAAAAAAGCCACAGGCAAGCAGUGUCCUGGGCAGUGCAUCUUUUCCAACAUGCUGUCCUCUGUGCACUUCUGCAAGGAAAUUCCUUGUACCCCUGUUACACGUAUCGUAUCUUCACACCAGUGC
Long non-coding RNA from Lagopus muta (rock ptarmigan), 5213 nucleotides. RefSeq lists it as uncharacterized. Lineage: Eukaryota; Metazoa; Chordata; Aves; Galliformes; Phasianidae. The record is from RefSeq and is a predicted model, not a curated record. The transcript is spliced from 4 exons.